Synechococcus sp. is the source of this 60-nucleotide regulatory RNA element. It matches the Rfam family "Glutamine-II riboswitch aptamer". Rfam says of the family: The major groove of the PK provides the binding site for L-glutamine Lineage: Bacteria; Bacillati; Cyanobacteriota; Cyanophyceae; Synechococcales; Synechococcaceae. The record is from Rfam.
UAGCGUUGACCCGGAUCUUCCGGAUGCAGUUCGUUCCGGGCCAUGCAACGGGGGCCAGGA